CCUACGGGAGGCAACAGUGAGGAAUAUUGGUCAAUGGGCGUAAGCCUGAACCAGCCAAGUCGCGUGAGGGAUGAAGGUUCUAUGGAUCGUAAACCUCUUUUAUAAGGGAAUAAAGUGUGGGACGUGUCCUAUUUUGAAUGUACCUUAUGAAUAAGGAUCGGCUAACUCCGUGCCAGCAGCCGCGGUAAUACGGAGGAUCCGAGCGUUAUCCGGAUUUAUUGGGUUUAAAGGGUGCGUAGGCGGCCUUUUAAGUCAGCGGUGAAAGUCUGUGGCUCAACCAUAGAAUUGCCGUUGAAACUGGGUGGCUUGAGUACGUUUUAGGCAGGCGGAAGGCGUGGUGUAGCGGUGAAAUGCUUAGAUAUCACGCAGAACCCCGAUUGCGAAGGCAGCCUGCCAAGCCAUGACUGACGCUGAUGCACGAAAGCGUGGGGAUCAAACAGGAUUAGAUACCCCAGUAGUC
This 460-nucleotide ribosomal RNA is filed under the name uncultured bacterium. Its description in RNAcentral is "partial 16S ribosomal RNA". It matches the Rfam family "Bacterial small subunit ribosomal RNA", at positions 338 to 795 of the family's 1533-position model. The record is from RNAcentral.